Molecule: ribosomal RNA, 809 nt
Filed under: uncultured bacterium
Lineage: Bacteria
Description: bacterial SSU rRNA
Rfam family: Bacterial small subunit ribosomal RNA
Source: RNAcentral
GUCGAACGGUGUCUUCGGACAUAGUGGCGCACGGGUGCGUAACACGUAUGCAACCUACCUUACAUUGGGGGAUAGCCUUUCGAAAGGGAGAUUAAUACCGCAUAAGACAGUAGCUGGGCAUCCAGCAGCUGUUAAAGAUUUAUCGAUGUAAGCUGGGCAUGCGUCCAAUUAGCUAGUUGGUGAGGUAAUGGCUCACCAAGGCUAUGAUUGGUAGGGGAACUGAGAGGUCAAUCCCCCACACUGGCACUGAGAUACGGGCCAGACUCCUACGGGAGGCAGCAGUAGGGAAUAUUGGGCAAUGGACGCAAGUCUGACCCAGCCAUGCCGCGUGCAGGAUGAAGGCGUUAUGCGUUGUAAACUGCUUUUAUACAGGAAGAAACGACUCUUGCGAGAGGCAUUGACGGUACUGUAUGAAUAAGCACCGGCUAACUCCGUGCCAGCAGCCGCGGUAAUACGGAGGGUGCAAGCGUUGUCCGGAUUUAUUGGGUUUAAAGGGUGCGCAGGUGGUUUAUUAAGUCAGUGGUGAAAGACGGUCGCUCAACGAUUGCAGUGCCAUUGAAACUGGUAGACUUGAGUAAAGUAGAGGUGGGCGGAAUUGAUAGUGUAGCGGUGAAAUGCAUAGAUAUUAUCAAGAACUCCAAUUGCGUAGGCAGCUCACUUGGCUUUUACUGACACUCAUGCACGAAAGUGUGGGUAUCAAACAGGAUUAGAUACCCUGGUAGUCCACACUGUAAACGAUGAUAACUAGGUGUCGGCCGAAUCUGGUCGGUGCCACAGCGAAAGCGUUAAGUUAUCCACCUGGGGAGUAC